GGAAUAUUGGACAAUGGGGGAAACCCUGAUCCAGCCAUGCCGCGUGUGUGAAGAAGGCCUUCGGGUUGUAAAGCACUUUAAGUUGGGAAGAAGGCUUUGGGGUUAAUAGCCUUGAGGAUUGACAUUACCAACAGAAUAAGAACCGGCUAACUCCGUGCCAGCAGCCGCGGUACUACGGAGGGUGCAAGCGUUAAUCGGAAUUCCGUGGCGUAAAGCGCGGGUAGGCGGCUGAUUAAGUCGGGUGUGAAAGCCCCGGGCUCAACCUGGGAACUGCAUCCGAUACUGAUCGGCUAGAGUAUGAGAGAGGGAGGUAGAAUUCCACGUGUAGCGGUGAAAUGCGUAGAUAUGUGGAGGAAUACCGGUGGCGAAGGCGGCCUCCUGGCUUAAUACUGACGCUGAGGUGCGAAAGCGUGGGGAUCAAA
Molecule: ribosomal RNA, 422 nt
Filed under: uncultured bacterium
Lineage: Bacteria
Description: bacterial SSU rRNA
Rfam family: Bacterial small subunit ribosomal RNA
Source: RNAcentral